GCCUGGGUGGCUCAGUCGGCUGAGCACCUGACCUGAGCUCAGGUCAUGAUCUCCCAGUUCGUGGGUUCGAGCCCCGCAUGGGGCU
This 85-nucleotide transfer RNA is filed under the name Felis catus (domestic cat). It matches the Rfam family "tRNA". From Rfam's summary of the family: Transfer RNA (tRNA) molecules are approximately 80 nucleotides in length. Their secondary structure includes four short double-helical elements and three loops (D, anti-codon, and T loops). Further hydrogen bonds mediate the characteristic L-shaped molecular structure. tRNAs have two regions of fundamental functional importance: the anti-codon, which is responsible for specific mRNA codon recognition, and the 3' end, to which the tRNAs corresponding amino acid is attached (by aminoacyl-tRNA synthetases). tRNAs cope with the degeneracy of the genetic code in two manners: having more than one tRNA (with a specific anti-codon) for a particular amino acid; and 'wobble' base-pairing, i.e. permitting non-standard base-pairing at the 3rd anti-codon position. Lineage: Eukaryota; Metazoa; Chordata; Mammalia; Carnivora; Felidae. The record is from Rfam by way of RNAcentral.